AUUUAUAUAGUUUAAUUAAGACAUUACAUUUUCAUUGUAAAAAUAAAAUUUUAUAUUUUUAUAAAUU
This 67-nucleotide transfer RNA is filed under the name Rivellia syngenesiae. Its description in RNAcentral is "tRNA-Glu". The record is from RNAcentral. Lineage: Eukaryota; Metazoa; Arthropoda; Insecta; Diptera; Platystomatidae.